CGCGAUCCUCGCCCUCUGCAAAGCAUAGACGGCACAGUAGGGCACACCAAAGCAAAAGUAGUAGCCGGCCGGCCAGCCAGCUAGCUCCCCUGCGCCUCCACACUUCUCUGCGCCGCCGGCAGAGACCUCCUGCCGCUAAUACCCACACCCACACGGCCGCCGCCGGCCGGCCGGCUACACGUCCGUCGUCGUGCGCACAGCAGGUGCCCCUUGAUCAUCUUGCUGCUUCUUGCAUGCACUAGGCUAGCUCACCUCAGCCCCGGCGGAGGAGACGAUCGAUCGAUCCCCUCCGAUCCUGCCCCCUGCUGCACCUUGCUAGCGAAUUCCACCCGUGCGCAACGCUCAGUUUUCAUCCCACGUCCAGCUAGGCACAGCUGCCGAUCGAUGGCUCCCGCCGCCGCCCGGGCGGCACCGAAGAAGAAGACGAAGACGUUCGUGCAGAAGCGCGGGCAGGUAUUCAAGAGGGUGCUGGGGAGCCUCUUCUCCUGGCUGCCGCGCUGCAGGCUGCAGCAGCUGUUCCGCAAGAACCGCGCCCCUCGCGGACGCCGCGGCAACCGCGUCCCGGCCAACGGAGGCCACGUCGAGCCGGAGCCCGACGUCGCCAACAACACUAGCUACUCCGCCACACGCGCAACCCUGAACGCACACCCAGCAGUACUAGGUCAGUGAUGUUAAAUUUCUGUACGUGCGUGCGUACGUGCGCUGCUCGGUCGUCGGUCGGUUUUCCCCAGGUUUUCAGUUUUCUCUAGGUCCACACGCGUUCUUCCUAGCUAAUUCAUAUCUUGACGCGCGACCAUUUCUUAAUUUCUCAGGCCGGGUGAAUUCCAUCCUCUAGCUACGGAAAGAAAAGAAUUCUCCGGGUCCUCGUCAAGCAAGUACACGGCCACAACGACGACGACGACGGAGGGAGUCAACGCGUGUCUCAACUUAAUUAUGGAUAUAUCAGAACCGGAGAGCUAGCACAUGAGACGGCGGGGUUGCUGUGCCUGCUGCGAUAUAUAUGCGCAUGCCUCUCCUGUGUACAAGUCAACUUAUUAUUGUUUCGUUUUUUUAUGGGUUAUUUAUUGCUUCAUUAUUAUUGUAUCUUCGUAUCACUGGAUUUGCAUGGUAGAUUUGGAUUACUACUGCGUGUAGGCGGAUCGUGGUCGUCGUCGUCCUUAUUGUACGCGUCCUGUGUGUGUUCUGGUCUCGGCUAAAUUAAAGUGUUCAUUCGUCGUUGAUGGAUGGACGCAGCAUGUUCCUGUGUUCCGUCACGAUCUAGUUGGUAUUUAAGCUGUCAUCAGGUGUUAUAUUCAGUCAGUACGUACGGUAAACUGAUUGAUUGACAAGAAUAAAAGAUGGUCAAAUUAAAUAUGUGUGCUUCACCCAAUUCAAUGUAAGUGUCUCAGCAAACAGACUGAAAUGACUUGAUUCGUUUUUUGUACAG
RNAcentral lists this long non-coding RNA (1426 nucleotides) under Sorghum bicolor (sorghum). RNAcentral describes it as "long non-coding RNA (SBIC_LNC016955)". Lineage: Eukaryota; Viridiplantae; Streptophyta; Magnoliopsida; Poales; Poaceae. The record is from RNAcentral.